GACGAACGCUGGCGGCGUGCUUAACACAUGCAAGUCGAACGCUGAAGCUCAGCUUUUGUUGGGUGGAUGAGUGGCGAACGGGUGAGUAACACGUGAGUAACCUGCCCCCUUCUUUGGGAUAACGCCCGGAAACGGGUGCUAAUACUGGAUAUUCACUGGUCUUCGCAUGGGGGUUGGUGGAAAGGGUUUUUCUGGUGGGGGAUGGGCUCGCGGCCUAUCAGCUUGUUGGUGGGGUGAUGGCCUACCAAGGCUUUGACGGGUAGCCGGCCUGAGAGGGUGACCGGUCACAUUAGGACUGAGAUACGGCCCAGACUCCUACGGGAGGCAGCAGUGGGGAAUAUUGCACAAUGGGCGCAAGCCUGAUGCAGCGACGCCGCGUGAGGGAUGGAGGCCUUCGGGUUGUGAACCUCUUUCGCUCAUGGUCAAGCCGCAACAAUGGUUGUGGUGAGGGUAGUGGGUAAAGAAGCGCCGGCUAACUACGUG
Molecule: ribosomal RNA, 483 nt
Filed under: uncultured bacterium
Lineage: Bacteria
Description: partial 16S ribosomal RNA
Rfam family: Bacterial small subunit ribosomal RNA
Source: RNAcentral